AGUCGAACGGUGAAGCCCAGCUUGUCUGGGUGGAUCAGUGGCGAACGGGUGAGUAACACGUGAGCAACCUGCCCCUGACUCUGGGAUAAGCGCUGGAAACGGCGUCUAAUACUGGAUACGAGACGUGAUCGCAUGGUCAACGUUUGGAAAGAUUUUUCGGUUGGGGAUGGGCUCGCGGCCUAUCAGCUUGUUGGUGAGGUAAUGGCUCACCAAGGCGUCGACGGGUAGCCGGCCUGAGAGGGUGACCGGCCACACUGGGACUGAGACACGGCCCAGACUCCUACGGGAGGCAGCAGUGGGGAAUAUUGCMCAAUGGGSGCAAGCCUGAUGCAGCAACGCCGCGUGAGGGAUGACGGCCUUCGGGUUGUAAACCUYUUUUAGCAGGGAAGAAGCGAGAGUGACGGKACCUGCAGAAAAAGCMCCGGCUAACUACGUGCCAGCAGCCGCGGUAAUACGUAGGGUGCAAGCGUUAUCCGGAAUUAUUGGGCGUAAAGAGCUCGUAGGCGGUUUGUCGCGUCUGCUGUGAAAUCUGGGGGCUCAACCCCCAGCCUGCAGUGGGUACGGGCAGACUAGAGUGCGGUAGGGGAGAUUGGAAUUCYUGGKGUAGCGGUGGAAUGCGCAGAUAUCAGGAGGAACACCGAUGGCGAAGGCAGAUCUCUGGGCCGUAACUGACGCUGAGGAGCGAAAGGGUGGGGAGCAAACAGGCUUAGAUACCCUGGUAGUCCACCCCGUAAACGUUGGGAACUAGUUGUGGGGUCCAUUCCACGGAUUCCGUGACGCAGCUAACGCAUUAAGUUCCCCGCCUGGGGAGUACGGCCGCAAGGCUAAAACUCAAAGGAAUUGACGGGGACCCGCACAAGCGGCGGAGCAUGCGGAUUAAUUCGAUGCAACGCGAAGAACCUUACCAAGGCUUGACAUAUACGAGAACGGGCCAGAAAUGGUCAACUCUUUGGACACUCGUAAACAGGUGGUGCAUGGUUGUCGUCAGCUCGUGUCGUGAGAUGUUGGGUUAAGUCCCGCAACGAGCGCAACCCUCGUUCUAUUUGGCCAGCACGUAAUGGUGGGAACCAUGGGAAACCUGCCGGGGUCAACUCGAAGGAAGGUGGGGA
Molecule: ribosomal RNA, 1109 nt
Filed under: Microbacterium sp.
Lineage: Bacteria; Bacillati; Actinomycetota; Actinomycetes; Micrococcales; Microbacteriaceae
Description: bacterial SSU rRNA
Source: RNAcentral